UCUUUAGACAGAAGUUUUAAGGAAUAUA
This 28-nucleotide non-coding RNA is filed under the name Rattus norvegicus (Norway rat). Lineage: Eukaryota; Metazoa; Chordata; Mammalia; Rodentia; Muridae. The record is from RNAcentral.